CAAUAAGAACAGAAAAUAGAUUAGAUAAUGAUUCAGCACAAGUAGAAAUAAAGAAAGAAUUGACAGUAAGAAAUUAAAAGAUAAGUCCUAAGAAGCCUUGAAAUCUCGAAAGAUCUCACAACUCCCUUCAAACGGCUCUAAUCUCCCCUCCAAAGAAUAUCAAUGGCAAGAAGAAGGUUGAAGAUGGCUCCCACAAUCACAAGAUUGUUAAAACAACUUCUAAAGAAAACUCAAGAGAGAAAUCUUGGAGAAAACUCAAAGAAAAUUCUGCUCUCAACAAAUCUGAAAUUUUAAUAAUAAUGAUAAGUGUUUAACAAGGUGGACAGUCAUGCCUUUAAAUAGGCCUUAUAACUAGUCCUAAUCUAAUUAGAAA
This 373-nucleotide long non-coding RNA is filed under the name Gossypium barbadense (sea-island cotton). Its description in RNAcentral is "long non-coding RNA (GBAR_LNC015736)". The record is from RNAcentral. Lineage: Eukaryota; Viridiplantae; Streptophyta; Magnoliopsida; Malvales; Malvaceae.